This 244-nucleotide ribosomal RNA is filed under the name uncultured bacterium. RNAcentral's name for it is "partial 16S ribosomal RNA". It matches the Rfam family "Bacterial small subunit ribosomal RNA", at positions 524 to 767 of the family's 1533-position model. The record is from RNAcentral.
UACAGAGGGGGCAAGCGUUGUUCGGAAUUACUGGGCGUAAAGGGCGCGUAGGCGGCCUGCUAAGUCGAACGUGAAAUCCCUGGGCUCAACCCAGGAACUGCGUCCGAUACUGGUUGGCUUGAAUCCGGGAGAGGGAUGUGGAAUUCCAGGUGUAGCGGUGAAAUGCGUAGAUAUCUGGAGGAACACCGGUGGCGAAGGCGACAUCCUGGACCGGUAUUGACGCUGAGGCGCGAAAGCCAGGGGA